GUAACACGUGGGUAACCUGCCUGUAAGACUGGGAUAACUCCGGGAAACCGGAGCUAAUACCGGAUAGUUCCUUGAACCGCAUGGUUCAAGGAUGAAAGACGGUUUCGGCUGUCACUUACAGAUGGACCCGCGGCGCAUUAGCUAGUUGGUGAGGUAACGGCUCACCAAGGCGACGAUGCGUAGCCGACCUGAGAGGGUGAUCGGCCACACUGGGACUGAGACACGGCCCAGACUCCUACGGGAGGCAGCAGUAGGGAAUCUUCCGCAAUGGACGAAAGUCUGACGGAGCAACGCCGCGUGAGUGAUGAAGGUUUUCGGAUCGUAAAGCUCUGUUGUUAGGGAAGAACAAGUGCAAGAGUAACUGCUUGCACCUUGACGGUACCUAACCAGAAAGCCACGGCUAACUACGUGCCAGCAGCCGCGGUAAUACGUAGGUGGCAAGCGUUGUCCGGAAUUAUUGGGCGUAAAGGGCUCGCAGGCGGUUUCUUAAGUCUGAUGUGAAAGCCCCCGGCUCAACCGGGGAGGGUCAUUGGAAACUGGGAAACUUGAGUGCAGAAGAGGAGAGUGGAAUUCCACGUGUAGCGGUGAAAUGCGUAGAGAUGUGGAGGAACACCAGUGGCGAAGGCGACUCUCUGGUCUGUA
Molecule: ribosomal RNA, 642 nt
Filed under: Bacillus pumilus
Lineage: Bacteria; Bacillati; Bacillota; Bacilli; Caryophanales; Bacillaceae
Description: bacterial SSU rRNA
Rfam family: Bacterial small subunit ribosomal RNA
Source: RNAcentral